AUUGAACGCUGGCGGCAGGCCUAACACAUGCAAGUCGAACGGUAACAGGAAGAAGCUUGCUUCUUUGCUGACGAGUGGCGGACGGGUGAGUAAUGUCUGGGAAACUGCCUGAUGGAGGGGGAUAACUACUGGAAACGGUAGCUAAUACCGCAUAACGUCGCAAGACCAAAGAGGGGGACCUUCGGGCCUUUUGCCAUCGGAUGUGCCCAGAUGGGAUUAGCUAGUAGGUGGGGUAACGGCUCACCUAGGCGACGAUCCCUAGCUGGUCUGAGAGGAUGACCAGCCACACUGGAACUGAGACACGGUCCAGACUCCUACGGGAGGCAGCAGUGGGGAAUAUUGCACAAUGGGCGCAAGCCUGAUGCAGCCAUGCCGCGUGUAUGAAGAAGGCCUUCGGGUUGUAAAGUACUUUCAGCGGGGAGGAAGGGAGUAAAGUUAAUACCUUUGCUCAUUGACGUUACCCGCAGAAGAGGCACCGGCUAACUCCG
RNAcentral lists this ribosomal RNA (488 nucleotides) under uncultured bacterium. RNAcentral's name for it is "partial 16S ribosomal RNA". It matches the Rfam family "Bacterial small subunit ribosomal RNA", at positions 30 to 505 of the family's 1533-position model. The record is from RNAcentral.